CCUACGGGAGGCAGCAGUGGGGAAUAUUGCACAAUGGGGGAAACCCUGAUGCAGCGACGCCGCGUGAGUGAAGAAGUAACUCGUUAUGUAAAGCUCUAUCAGCCGGGAAGAAAAUGACGGUACCUGAGUAAGAAGCCCCGGCUAACUACGUGCCAGCAGCCGCGGUAAUACGUAGGGGGCCAGCGUUAUCCGGAUUUACUGGGUGUAAAGGGAGCGUAGACGGCAGUGCAAGUCUGGAGUGAAAGGCGGGGGCUCAACCCCCGGACUGCUGUGGAAACUGUACGGCUGGAGUGCAGGAGAGGUAAGUGGAAUUCCUGGUGUAGCGGUGAAAUGCAUAGAUAUUAGGAGGAACUCCAGUGGCGAAGGCAGCUUACUGGACUGUAACUGACGUUGAGGCUCGAAAGCGUGGGUAGCAAACAGGAUUAGAUACCCCGGUAGUC
RNAcentral lists this ribosomal RNA (440 nucleotides) under uncultured bacterium. RNAcentral's name for it is "partial 16S ribosomal RNA". It matches the Rfam family "Bacterial small subunit ribosomal RNA", at positions 338 to 795 of the family's 1533-position model. The record is from RNAcentral.